CGCGUAGGUGGUUUUUAAGUCGGAUGUGAAAUCCCCGGGCUUAACCUGGGAACUGCACCCGAUACUGGACGACUAGAGUGCGAGAGAGGGAGGUAGAAUUCCACGUGUAGCGGUGAAAUGCGUAGAUAUGUGGAGGAAUACCGGUGGCGAAGGCGGCCUCCUGGCUCGACACUGACGCUGAGGUGCGAAAGCGUGGGGAGCAAACA
RNAcentral lists this ribosomal RNA (206 nucleotides) under uncultured bacterium. Its description in RNAcentral is "partial 16S ribosomal RNA". It matches the Rfam family "Bacterial small subunit ribosomal RNA", at positions 568 to 774 of the family's 1533-position model. The record is from RNAcentral.